RNAcentral lists this ribosomal RNA (717 nucleotides) under uncultured Lachnospiraceae bacterium. RNAcentral describes it as "bacterial SSU rRNA". It matches the Rfam family "Bacterial small subunit ribosomal RNA", at positions 59 to 770 of the family's 1533-position model. Lineage: Bacteria; Bacillati; Bacillota; Clostridia; Lachnospirales; Lachnospiraceae. The record is from RNAcentral.
AAGUCGAACGAAGCUCGAAGCUCUGAGAUUUCGGUCAAGGAGCCUAGAUGACUUAGUGGCGAACGGGUGAGUAAUGCGUGAGCAACCUGCCUUUCAGAGGGGGACAACAGCUGGAAACGGCUGCUAAUACCGCAUAACACAUCGGGGUGGCAUCACCCUGGUGUCAAAGGAGCAAUCCGCUGAGAGAUGGGCUCACGUCUGAUUAGCUGGUUGGUGAGGUAACGGCUCACCAAGGCGACGAUCAGUAGCCGGUCUGAGAGGAUGAACGGCCACAUUGGGACUGAGAUACGGCCCAGACUCCUACGGGAGGCAGCAGUGGGGAAUAUUGGGCAAUGGGCGAAAGCCUGACCCAGCAACGCCGCGUGAAGGAAGAAGGCUUUCGGGUUGUAAACUUCUUUUAUCAGGGACGAAGGAUGUGACGGUACCUGAUGAAUAAGCCACGGCUAACUACGUGCCAGCAGCCGCGGUAAUACGUAGGUGGCAAGCGUUGUCCGGAUUUACUGGGUGUAAAGGGCGCGUAGGCGGAGAGACAAGUCAGAUGUGAAAUCUAUGGGCUUAACCCAUAAACUGCAUUUGAAACUAUCUCCCUUGAGUGAUGGAGAGGCAAGCGGAAUUCCUAGUGUAGCGGUGAAAUGCGUAGAUAUUAGGAGGAACACCAGUGGCGAAGGCGGCUUGCUGGACAUUAACUGACGCUGAGGCGCGAAAGCGUGGGGAGCA